This 193-nucleotide small RNA is filed under the name Arabidopsis thaliana (thale cress). RNAcentral describes it as "ATSL135130". The record is from RNAcentral. Lineage: Eukaryota; Viridiplantae; Streptophyta; Magnoliopsida; Brassicales; Brassicaceae.
AUUUUGCCAUUCAAGAUCGAGACUAAAGAUUAUUUGAACUAUAAAGCAAAUUUUCACUCUUUAACGCUCCAUUUCGUACAUUACUUUGAUCAUUUUUCUUUUUAUCUAUUUUUUUCGUCGACCGUUUUCUUUGACGAUGUUUGUUAUAUGAUUCUAAAAGCAUCCACAAUGGUAGACUCUUAGCAAAACUCUU